UCCUCGUUAGUAAUGAGUGGUCAGUAUCCCCGCCCUGUCACGCGGGAGGACCGGGGUUCAAUUCCCCGCACGGGGAGA
This 78-nucleotide transfer RNA is filed under the name Merluccius polli (Benguela hake). RNAcentral's name for it is "tRNA-OTHER". The record is from RNAcentral. Lineage: Eukaryota; Metazoa; Chordata; Actinopteri; Gadiformes; Merlucciidae.